This 621-nucleotide ribosomal RNA is filed under the name Rhodotorula sp. CBS 6372. RNAcentral's name for it is "eukaryotic LSU rRNA". It matches the Rfam family "Eukaryotic large subunit ribosomal RNA", at positions 47 to 663 of the family's 3401-position model. The record is from RNAcentral. Lineage: Eukaryota; Fungi; Basidiomycota; Microbotryomycetes; Sporidiobolales; Sporidiobolaceae.
UAAGCGGAGGAAAAGAAACUAACAAGGAUUCCCCUAGUAACGGCGAGUGAAGCGGGAAGAGCUCAAAUUUGAAAUCUGGCACUUUCAGUGUCCGAGUUGUAAUCUCGAGAAGUGUUUUCCGCGCUGGACCGCAUAUAAGUCUGUUGGAAUACAGCGUCAUAGUGGUGAGAACCCCGUAACUGAUGCGGACGCCCAGUGCUUUGUGAUACACUUUCGAAGAGUCGAGUUGUUUGGGAAUGCAGCUCAAAUUGGGUGGUAAAUUCCAUCUAAAGCUAAAUAUUGGCGAGAGACCGAUAGCGAACAAGUACCGUGAGGGAAAGAUGAAAAGCACUUUGGAAAGAGAGUUAACAGUACGUGAAAUUGUUGGAAGGGAAACGCUUGAAGUCAGACUUGCUGUUUGGAAUUCAGCCGCAAGGUGUACUUUUCAGAUAUGCAGGCCAGCAUCAGUUUUUGGGGGUGAAAAAGGGUAUUGAGAAGGUAGCAGUUUCGGCUGUGUUAUAGCUCUUUACUGGAUUCAUCCUUGGGGACUGAGGAACGCAGCUCACUUUUUGCACGAUCUUCGGAUUGUUCUGAGCUUAGGAUGCUGGUGGAAUGGCUUUAAACGACCCGUCUUGAAACACG